AGUCCAAAGAACAAGAUAUCUUCCUAAUUAAUUUGGAGUCACAGAGGAACAAAUAAAUAAAAACAUUCUCUGCUCUCUCUUACCCAACAGAGAAUAGAUACCCAGCAUCUCAAAAGAGAUCACUAAAUGGUCAGAACAUAAAAUAGAUUCCCAAAUAUUACUGCCACCCAUGAGGAAUAAUCUGUGGCCAUGUACAAACUCUAGUCGGAUAUACAGAGGAUGUUCUCUGGCUACUCAAGCACGCUGACUUAGUGGUCCACUUCACACCAGCCACAGGACCCAUUUAUGGAAAGGGACAGAAUCCAAACCAUGAAGGGACCAACAGACUCGACCACAGUAAAAACAUGGGAUCAGAAGAAAAAAGAGAGAGGAGGAACAAGACAGUUGAAAGUUUCGUUCUAUUUCCAGUUUGGACUCAUUGGGGAGCCAAGGAGAGACAUGCCCGGGGUCAAACCCCGUGAAGUUUUCAGUUCAUUCUGACAGGAAUUCCUCUGACUGCUGAAUGCCUACUAUGUGCUGCGCACCCUGCCAGGGACUAAGGUGCUGCAAUACACAGACUCCACCGAGUCCAGGGGACACACGAAGGAGGGGCAUCAGGCCUCCUAGAAGACCAGAAAGGUCAGUGGCAUCACCCUGGUGCUGGGAGAACAAUGGAUCAAAGGCAAGAAGGUACCAAACAGCCAGUUAGGUUACGUGUAGCAACCACCGAUUAUGGCCUUUAGUUAAACACUGUUCUGAUUUGUUAUGUAGCUGUUUCAUGUAAUAUCAACAUUUUAGCAACAUCAUAUGCUUGGAAUAGGGAAAUGCUGGGAAGUAUAGGAGAUUGUCUUACACUUCGUUGCAAAAACUAAGAGGCAGUGCAUAGCGAUGGGAUUCAUAAAACUCAGGAAAAUUGACAUUGGGAACCCCAGUUUCAAAUACCAGCUGUACCAUUUGCUGGCUGUGAGAUCUUGGGUGAGUUAAUUAACCUCCAUGAGUCUUUUGUGCAAAAGGGUCACAAAUCCACCCAUCACAAGAACCAUGAGGUACAAAUGAAGAAUAGUGUUUACUUGGAAACUCACAGGCAGAAAGAGAGUGCAAAGAUUCCCUGUUCUUCUGCCUUCCUGUGGGGAGGGGCUGCGUUGGGCGGGGCUGGCUGCUGCUGUGGUCUGGAUAUAGUUUGAACCCACCAAAGCUCAUGUGGAAAUUUGGCCCUCAGUGUGGCAGUGCUGGCGGUGGGCCUGGUGGGAGGUGUGCGGGCUGUGGGUGCAGGUCCCUUGUGAGUGGUUUGGGGCUGCUCUCCAGGUAGUGACCGGAGGCCCCUCAGGUUUCCCCCUCUUCACACAUGUCCACACGUCCACUUCCCCUCAAGCCUCUCCACCAUUGCAGCGUGAAAGCCCUCACCAGAAGACAGGGCCGUGCCCUUGACCUUCUCAGUCUGCAGAACCUGAGCUAAAUAAAUCUCUUCUCUUUAUAAAUUA
Long non-coding RNA from Lemur catta (Ring-tailed lemur), 1460 nucleotides. RefSeq lists it as uncharacterized. The record is from RefSeq and is a predicted model, not a curated record. NCBI's taxonomy places the organism in Eukaryota, Metazoa, Chordata, Mammalia, Primates, Lemuridae. The transcript is spliced from 3 exons.